Molecule: ribosomal RNA, 271 nt
Filed under: Prymnesium parvum
Lineage: Eukaryota; Haptophyta; Prymnesiales; Prymnesiaceae
Description: partial Bacterial small subunit ribosomal RNA
Rfam family: Bacterial small subunit ribosomal RNA
Source: RNAcentral
CUGAGAGUUUGAUCCUGGCUCAGAGCGAACGCUGGCGGCAGGCCUAACACAUGCAAGUCGAGCGCACCUUCGGGUGAGCGGCGGACGGGUUAGUAACGCGUGGGAACAUACCCUUUUCUACGGAAUAGCCUCGGGAAACUGAGAGUAAUACCGUAUAAGCCCUUCGGGGGAAAGAUUUAUCGGGAAAGGAUUGGCCCGCGUUAGAUUAGAUAGUUGGUGGGGUAAUGGCCUACCAAGUCUACGAUCUAUAGCUGGUUUUAGAGGAUGAUCA